UACGUAGGGUGCGAGCGUUAAUCGGAAUUACUGGGCGUAAAGCGUGCGUAGGCGGUUCGCUGUGUCCGAUGUGAAAGCCCCGGGCUUAACCUGGGAAUGGCAUUGGAAACUGGCGGGCUUGAGUGCGGCAGAGGGGGGUGGAAUUCCGCGUGUAGCAGUGAAAUGCGUAGAGAUGCGGAGGAACACCCGUAGCGAAGGCGGCGCUCUGGGCCGGUACUGACGCUGAGGAGCGAAAGCGUGGGGAGCAAACAGG
Molecule: ribosomal RNA, 253 nt
Filed under: uncultured bacterium
Lineage: Bacteria
Description: partial 16S ribosomal RNA
Rfam family: Bacterial small subunit ribosomal RNA
Source: RNAcentral